This is a non-coding RNA of Podarcis muralis (Common wall lizard), 6200 nucleotides long. NCBI's taxonomy places the organism in Eukaryota, Metazoa, Chordata, Lepidosauria, Squamata, Lacertidae. The record is from RefSeq and is a predicted model, not a curated record.
CCGCGUCUUAGCUCAACAUUGGUGGGUACUGUGUAAGGGGCUUCGCUCCAACCAAACGGAGGGAUUCAAUGCUGCCACCAUCACCCCUCUGCCGAUCCCACCUUGUCCUGAUGCAGAAGAAGGAUCUCCCCCCCAAAAAAAUUUCUAGGCUCCACCCGAACCCGUAUAAUUCCUUCACAUGCACACACGUGUUCACCACCUCCUCACUGGAGGACAGGGGUUUUCAAUUGACCCUAUGGAUUCACCCCUUCCUCAUCACCCCAAACCCUAAAUAUAUGGUGUGAAUAUAUUUGGAGUAAUCUGUUUUGGGUAUGCCGAGGGGAUCCUAAAUCCAUUUACUUUACUUCGUUUAUGUGUGUGUGUGUAUUUUAGGCCGGGAUCCUUAGGCCGUCCAUCCUUUGGGAACGAUCGGCGGGACUUGCUCCCGAGGUGUAAACCAGACUCGGGUCCGUCCACCUAAGUAGUCCUGAGCGCACGGAAUGAAUGGAGCGCCUUGUGUUUAAAUCGAAGGGUGCUGCUUGGGCUUGAAGACUAUCUGGGCAUGAUUCUGGAUUAACUAGCUGCUAAAUCGCUUCCCAAACUCUAUUUCUCCGACGCCCACAUAUAAACAUCCCGACGAUCCUCCGCUCUUUUGGUUUCAACUGCUCUUACUUCUCCGUCCAAAGAAAAUCUUUCUCUGUGUCCAGAGACUACUUUCUGCUUGUCCAUUUCCAAACGUGUUGAAAGGCCACUUAGAUCCUAACCUGUUUUCACACACACACACACACACCCGCCUCAUUUCUUUGCUACGCAAAACCAGUUGGUAAUACUCGCGAGGAAGCGAUUUCCCUGUGGCCUUGUUUUGCCGACAAAAAAAUAGAAAGAAAUUAAGAAGUCUGUGCGCGCGCGCAGAGGAAUAAACACAAACAUCCCUCCCUAACAGCAAGUCGUUUGCUAGAAAUUGACCAGUUAAUUGAACGCAUUAAAAAAAAGGACCAGCAGUUUUGUUUAUACACAAAUGAGACACACCAAAAAUUAAAGUGAUUCCCGGAUCUCCCCUGCCACCAAGGGGAUCUCUCUGGAAAGGCGGUAGGUUUGGAACUCACCCACUUUUAAAAAUCAAGUUUCUGAUUUCUUUGCGAGAUAGACGCAGACAAGGGGCAGGAUGUUUAUACAGCGCAACGUAAACAAGUUCCCGGGCCUUUUUUAAUAAAAUGAAAACGUCCGGAGUUUCUUCCAGUGGCCCUCAGCUUAUAUUGCUGAUUGUUUAGGGCUUUUCUUCCACCCACCCCAUACAUUCCCAUUCCAAAUAUUUUCUUCUGUAAAAAAAACAAAACAAAAACCGUACUAGACGCCUUGGUUAUUACUUGAUUCUACAGAUUCUCAAAGACACUCGCACGAAACGUGCUUCCUAAAAGCGUCUCCAAAAAACAUCCCCAACCCACAUUUAGAGAAGGGUGGGUGUCCCUCGUCCCCUCCCUAUCAUUUUUUUAAACAUUUUUUUAAAACUCUCCGGAGAAUCUUUUCAUCCGCUUCCCAGCCUGCCACUCACUCAUCAAGAAGAGAGAGAAGGCAGAAGCGGCUUGAGGAUCGCAGCAAGGAUGCCUGGAUGAGACCAUUGAGCUGAAUCACACACCCCUUUGCCCUUUACACUACAAUCCGAUGCACACUUUUGUAGGAGUAGGUCCGGAUUGUGCUAUUAAAGACACACUCAUGUCACUUGAGAAAUUAAGCACGUGUCUGUCUCCCACGAAAAACAGUGAGACCUCGAUGUGUUUAACUUCGUCUAUAGUUGGAAAUGGCUCCUGAUAGUUCUGUUAGACAUUAUUAUUAUUAUUAUUAUUAUUAUUAUUAACCAUGAUAUUACACCCACUAAAAUUAAUGUACCUAAGUUGGCCAUGUCCAUUAAACCCAAUGGGUCUACUCUGAGUAGGACCAGCAUCUGCUCCCACUUAUUAUGAUAAUUACUAUUAUUAUUACUAUUUCAUCUCCAAGACUCCUCUCUAUUCAAAUUUUAUAUUGAUCACGUUUCCUGCCCGCACCCAACCUUUCCACGCUGGACCUUCAAAUAAGUCGAAGCUGUCGAUCAUUUCAAGGCUUUCUUUUGUCACUUAAAGAAAGUAGUGGCAACGUUUCCCUGAGGGGCGGGCGGGCUGUGGAGGACAUUUAUUGAAAUUUCAGGAUCAGGGGAAAGUCUUGGGGGGACAAGCAACGAGGGUUUCCCCUGCCUCCCCCCACGCUAAGAUGUGACUGGUUUUGGUGUGAUCACUGGUGAGAACGCAAACAUCUGAAACAAUCCCGCGCAAGUAUAGGGUACCACUUCCAAAUACAGUUGUAUCCGUUUUCCCUGCGCCUCUUUAGAUGUGCAUUUUUAGGUACCAAAAAUAGCACUGCGUUCUGUAUUGUACAGCUUGGAUUCUUGAACGAGUGAGAGGUGUAUCAGUGUCUUUUGAGUGAUUAAGGGGAAAAAAUGGGCAGGAUCUCUCCCCCGCACAUUGUAAAUCCUCAUUUACAAAGCCAAGACAACCACAAACGUUAUUAAGGCAAUUAAAAGAUUUAUGGCUGUGAAUGAGAAAACAUAUGUAAAAUCCAAUGCUUUCUGCGCAGAGUAGACCCAUAGAAAAUAAUGGGCAAGCCUAACUUAGGUCCACUCAUUUCAACGUCUCUGCUCUGAAUAGAUAUUUGUUGAAUACAACAGUUAGAACGUUCUAAGGCAGCAUAGAAAUAUAAUAUUGGUUGAUUCGUUUUCAGUGGGUUUUUAUACACUUAAAAAAAGUAUUUCAAAGAGAAAGUCCCUUUUAGGACAGAGAGGGAAGGGUAUGACUAUUUUUAAUAAAUGAUCAGUACUGGCAUAGAAACAAAGCAAUUAGUAUUUACCAGAAAGCCAUAUAUACAACCCUGUUCCUUUUUUCUUUCUUUUUUCUUGUUAAAAAAUAUUGACUUUAAAAUGGAAAAGUCUUACCCAUUUCAUUUCAAAGUAAUUUCUAUAAACAGCAAACGAAUUGUUAUUGCGUGACAAUAUAUUCAUUUUCAAUCCAUUAUGAUGUAUAAACAAUCAUUUGGUAUGAGUCACAGAUCAAGCAUGGGACGAAACUCAAGCGCGCACGGGGGGGGGGGAGAGUCACAUACAUGAUCUCAGUCUUCCUUACAACCACCCUGUAAGGUAGGUCAGUAUUAAUAUGUCCAUAUUGAAGAGAGGGCGCUGAUAGCGUGGCUGAGGCUGCAAUCCUAUGCUGUCUUUUCUAAGAAUAAUCUCCACUGAAUUCAAGCAAACAAGCAUGGGACUGGGUUAUUAGUGAGGUCUGAGGUGAGGGUAGAUUUGCCCAAGAAGCAGAAAGACGCCCGAAUUCCUUCCCAAAGAAGACACGGAGCUCUUAUUUGGUGUAUUCAAUGGGGCUCACUUUCUAGAACACCUGCAAUCCUAUACUUAUUUACCUGAGAGUAGAUUUUACUUCUGAGCAGACAUGUACAGGAUUGCAACUGUUCACUGUAUUUAGGAUUACAGCGUUACAGAGUGAUCCUGCCAAUGCCUAAACAGAAGUAAGUCCCAUUUACUUAAAUAGGAUUUGCUCCCCGGUAAGUGGGUAAAAGGGUUACUGUUUUUCACAGUAAAUUGGAUUUCAACAAAAUCGGUGGGCUUCUGUAUCUUUUAAAAAAACAACAACCUAUUUUAAAUAAAAACAUUUUAUAACCUAGGCGCAGUGUACUGCGAUUCUCUCAUACCCUUCCGCAUUCCAGAUGUAGGGACAUCAAUUUAAAUAAAUAAGCAAUUCUAAAACUGGAGAAGAAUGAAAAGUAUUUUGUUUCGCUUUAGCAUAAAUGAAACGUAUUGGUGGAGAGAGAUAUGGAUAAUAAAAAAGGAUGAGCGGACUUCAAGCUUGCGGGUUCUACUUUGGGUCGGAGCCAAUAUUAGUUUACUCGGAGUAGACCCCUUGAGAUUAAUAGACUAAUUUAGGUCCAUUCAUUGGAUUCGGAAUUAAGUGCCAAAUAGUGGUUUAGAAAGAAGGGCGGGCAUACAGUUAGAACGAAAGAACCGGGACACCUCUGAAUCAGCGAAGAGACUUGUGGGAUCUUAAAGAUUCCACAUUUUAUUAUGGCUUAGGUAGACUGAAGUCCAUUUCAACAGAGGCAAGACCACCUCUGAAUUUGUGUCCAGGACCCAGACUCAAGCCCACAGACCUUUCCCCCCAAAAUCCAUUCCUCGUUCCUCCUCUCCAGCUUUCUUCGUUUCAGCAGAUACAUUGGGGGGGGGAGGGGAGUUGCUGUGGAGUCCAAAAUCCUUGGUGACCUCCUGCAAAUAGCACAGAUACCUACAAGUAGAUCCCGCUGUACCACCUUCUGCUCCUGCCCUUGUUCGUAUUGAAGAAGACUAACGCAAUAUCCUCCUGCGGGGAUUGCGCAGGUUGGGCUGCGCUCUUCAAUGGAAAUUGCGCAGGAGAACGAGCCGCUGGAUUGUGCCUUCAACGCUCUUCCUCGAAGCAGUCUUUUAGAUCCCCCGAUUGCAAAACCGGAAUGGUAUUUCUCCUUAGAGAGGGGACGCUUUGGAAGUCCCAUUGCAGUGAAUCGGAAACUGCUGCGCCAGAACGCAGCUCCAUAGCAGAAGCUAGCGCCGGGAUCGUGCCCAUACCCAUACUAGAGUCUCCCAGAUCGCUUUGCAUUUGCAUCCCUUAAUUCUCGAUAACAGAAGUUUUAUUUAGAGCACAACACCGUUUUUUGGGUGCUUCCAAGGUAUCCCUAGUGCCCAGUGAAAUUAUUUUAAUUUCUAGAAAGGGGUGUUGAGUCAACAUUCGGGAUUUUGAGGCAAACUAGUCAAGUUCUCGCUUUGUCCCAUCUAGAAUCAUCAUCAUCAUCAUCAUCAUCAUCUUGCCUGCCCUGCACCAUGAGGUCCCCUGGCAGGUUACAACGAUGUAAAAUACAGAAUUGAAAUCAGUCAAAACAAAUUACAGUCGAGAGAUCAGGAUGGGUCCUAAAUAGAUGUUUCAGAUGUUUCCCUAAAGGAAAACAAACAAACAAAUUAGCUAGUGUAGCUAGUGAAAAGAAAAACCCUGGCACUCCUCAAUUAUGUGCCCCCUGGUUAAUUUAGAGCUCUCUAUGGGGUGUUUUGUGUGUAUGGCAUCCAUGGUACAGAAUAUCGGGUAAGAAAUAUGUUCAGGAAAGAUAGGUGCAAUUCACCCCCCCCCAUAACAUUCAUUACACGACAUCCCAAUCUCUGAACAGUAAAAGAUUCCAGAGGUGCCAAGGGUGUUGCCAAGAGGUUUGGUUUCCUGGGAAUGAAGGUAGGAGGAGGCUGUGGUGUCUUUAGGGUGUAUGGUUUUAUUUGCACAGGAUGGAGGGACUCACAGCAUUAACAGCCCAAUAGAUCUUUCUUUUCCACUAGUCGCAUCUUUGGAUCCAGCACAGAGCAACUAUAUGUCUCUCUGAGGUGCAAAUGAAGAGAGGCUGCUUCUGGAAAUCUCAACGGGCAUGUAUUUCCACCUGCCUUCUCCACCCCAUUGCCUGAGAUCCUUAUAAGGAGGAGAGCUGUAUUUGGGACAAUGAAAUGAUUGCUACAGGGGAAAGACUGCUGGAACCAUCAAGGGCAGGCUGUAAAUGGCAGAAGAGGUGGGAUGGUGGAGUUUGCAGUCAACACACUGCUUAUCUUUGGAGCAGCAGUGAUUCAUGCAUAGGAAAGGGACCCCUUCCAAACUACUCAGAUUGGGUAUUGAACUGUGAGGUUAUGUGGGGCUUGAAGGACAACCAAUCUUUACCUCCCCAUGUGAGGGAUGGGGAAGGGAUUGAGAAAGGAGACCCAGGUGAGAACUGGGCACCCAUACAGCAAGUUAAUUUGGUGGGCAUAUGUGGAAUGUCCUUUGGGAAUAGUGACCCCACCAAUUUUGGAUGCUACCACUUUAUUUCCUUUGUGGAUAUUAUUCUCGCAAUUACGGUAGAAUCAUAGAGUUGUAGAGCUGGAAGGGACCAAAGGAGUCAUUUAGUCCAACCCCUUGCAAUGCAGGAAUCAUUUGAACCCAUGACCCGGAAAUUAGGAGUCUCAUGCUCUGUUUAGCUUUAUGUUAGCUUAUUUAUAUUUCUCUUGUAUUUAUUUGUAUUUAUUUAUAUUCUAUAUUUAUUUGCAUUAUGAUUGUUUCAAAUUGUUCUUACUUUUUUAAACUUGUUAUAUUUAUUUGUUGUUGUUUAUCUGGUAUGUUGUGAGCCACUUUGAGCACUAUUGUAGCAGCAUACAA